Molecule: ribosomal RNA, 481 nt
Filed under: uncultured bacterium
Lineage: Bacteria
Description: SSU rRNA
Rfam family: Bacterial small subunit ribosomal RNA
Source: RNAcentral
AGGACGAACGCUGGCGGCGUGCUUAACACAUGCAAGUGGAGCGACGAACCAGGCUUCGGCCUGGGGCAGAGCCGCGAACGGGUGAGUAACACGUGGGUAACCUGCCCUGAUGAUUGGGACAACCCGAGGAAACUCGGGCUAAUACCAAAUGUGCCCUCUGGCCUCAAGGCCUCUGGGGAAAGGAAGCUUCGGCCUCCGCAUUGGGAUGGGCCCGCGGCCCAUUAGCUUGUUGGUGAGGUAACGGCUCACCAAGGCUACGAUGGGUAGCUGGUCUGAGAGGACGAUCAGCCACACUGGGACUGAGACACGGCCCAGACUCCUACGGGAGGCAGCAGUGGGGAAUAUUGGACAAUGGGCGCAAGCCUGAUCCAGCAAUGCCGCGUGAGUGAAGAAGGUCUUCGGAUUGUAAAGCUCUUUCGACGGGGACGAUGAUGACGGUACCCGUAGAAGAGCCCGGCUAACUCGUGCCAGCAGCCGCGGU